GACGAACGCUGGCGGCGUGCUUAACACAUGCAAGUCGAACGGAAAGGCCCUGCUUUUGUGGGGUGCUCGAGUGGCGAACGGGUGAGUAACACGUGAGUAACCUGCCCUUGACUUUGGGAUAACUUCAGGAAACUGGGGCUAAUACCGGAUAGGAGCUCCUGCUGCAUGGUGGGGGUUGGAAAGUUUCGGCGGUUGGGAAUGGACUCGCGGCUUAUCAGCUUGUUGGUGGGGUAGUGGCUUACCAAGGCUUUGACGGGUGGCCGGCCUGAGAGGGUGACCGGCCACAUUGGGACUGAGAUACGGCCCAGACUCCUACGGGAGGCAGCAGUGGGGAAUAUUGCACAAUGGGCGGAGGCCUGAUGCAGCAACGCCGCGUGCGGGAUGACGGCCUUCGGGUUGUAAACCGCUUUCGCCUGUGACGAAGCGUGAGUGACGGUAAUGGGUAAAGAAGCACCGGCUAACUACGUG
RNAcentral lists this ribosomal RNA (468 nucleotides) under uncultured bacterium. Its description in RNAcentral is "partial 16S ribosomal RNA". It matches the Rfam family "Bacterial small subunit ribosomal RNA", at positions 28 to 507 of the family's 1533-position model. The record is from RNAcentral.